AUGGAGAGAGAAGCGCAUCAGAAGCGGCAGAACCCGCGCCCAGCGGUGCUGAGCGUCUUCUCGUCUCUAUGUUCCGUGGCGUCCAUGGCGUUUUGCGUGUUUCUGAGUAUCAACACGUCUGAUGUCACCCGCCGGAUUGUGGAUUUGGAGAGUAGAAUCGGCGAGCCCAAUUUGAUCCGUCCUGUGGGCUACUCGGUGGAUGAUUUUAACAUAUUGAUUCGAGACAGAGUGGACGAGCUGCUGUCACAGCGCUCCUAUGAAAACCUUGCGAAGAUUCGGAUUGCACGCCAAGCGGACACCACGGAGUGCAACUGCCCCCCAGGUCCACCGGGAAAGCGAGGAAGACGAGGCCGAAACGGAGAACCCGGUAUGUACCAGUGUUUGUUUUCACGAGAACCACAAGAUGGACCUCGCUGUAAUCAGGCUGAAGCAAUAAUAGAGCUACAGAACCGGAGUAAUUGAUACAUGGGAGCCUUCAAACGCGGACAGCCUCUGAGGGCCAAAGCCAGCGCUGG
Molecule: long non-coding RNA, 515 nt
Filed under: Gadus morhua (Atlantic cod)
Lineage: Eukaryota; Metazoa; Chordata; Actinopteri; Gadiformes; Gadidae
Description: lncRNA (ENSGMOG00000023172.1)
Source: RNAcentral